GUAGGGUGCGAGCGUUAAUCGGAAUUACUGGGCGUAAAGCGUGCGCAGGCGGUUCGCCAAGUCAGGUGUGAAAUCCCCGGGCUUAACCUGGGAAUUGCGCUUGAAACUAGCGGGCUUGAGUGUGGCAGAGGGGGGUGGAAUUCCACGUGUAGCAGUGAAAUGCGUAGAGAUGUGGAGGAACACCGAUGGCGAAGGCAGCCCCCUGGGUCAACACUGACGCUCAUGCACGAAAGCGUGGGGAGCAAACAGGAUUAGAUACCCUGGUAGUCCACGCCCUAAACGAUGUCGACUAGGUGUUGGGGAAGGAGACUUCCUUAGUACCGCAGCUAACGCGUGAAGUCGACCGCCUGGGGAGUACGGUCGCAAGAUUA
Molecule: ribosomal RNA, 371 nt
Filed under: uncultured bacterium
Lineage: Bacteria
Description: bacterial SSU rRNA
Rfam family: Bacterial small subunit ribosomal RNA
Source: RNAcentral